CUAAGUACAGAAGGGUAACCAUAGAGUAGGAUUGUCUAGUGAGACCUAGAGAGGCUCAAGCUCUAAAUUACGACCCACCCUGCCAUUUUUGAUUGGAGCUGAUUGAAUCUUAUGACUGUGGGACGCCAUCUUGAGGUCAAGGUUCCGGCUGGUUACCCGCGCGGGGCUUGUUAGAGGUUUUCUCACUUUUUGCUAGUUCGUUUUCCAGGAAUUAGAACCUUGGUCUCCUGAUUCUUUGAAGUUCGAUGAACUGAUACCUGGGCGGGACUAAGAACCUCAAUAGAAAGCCCAAAUGUCAUUUGUCCUUCGAAAAAAACUGCUCACAUCAAGAAAUAAUUGGCAACGGCUAUAUUGGGUUUUUUGGACUUUUUGUGCGUAUACUCACUGCAACUUAGGCGAAGUAACAGGGUCAAAGAGGUUCCUUGUAAAAGGAUGAACAUUACCUACUUCCCAAGACUACUAUAAGGAUUAAAUUAACAAAUAUAUGAAGGUACUUUCUACAAUAAAAUGCACAUUAAAUAUUCUUUA
Long non-coding RNA from Rattus rattus (black rat), 528 nucleotides. RefSeq lists it as uncharacterized. The transcript is spliced from 2 exons. NCBI's taxonomy places the organism in Eukaryota, Metazoa, Chordata, Mammalia, Rodentia, Muridae. The record is from RefSeq and is a predicted model, not a curated record.